This 75-nucleotide transfer RNA is filed under the name Alphaproteobacteria bacterium. RNAcentral describes it as "tRNA-Lys". It matches the Rfam family "tRNA". From Rfam's summary of the family: Transfer RNA (tRNA) molecules are approximately 80 nucleotides in length. Their secondary structure includes four short double-helical elements and three loops (D, anti-codon, and T loops). The record is from RNAcentral. Lineage: Bacteria; Pseudomonadati; Pseudomonadota; Alphaproteobacteria.
GGGCGCGUAGCUCAGCGGUAGAGCAGCUGACUUUUAAUCAGCAGGCCCUGGGUUCGACCCCCAGCGCGCUCACCA